UAGAUACCCUAUUAUAAAAAUUUAAAUUUAUUACUAAAAAAUUAAUAGUUAAGUUCUUUAAAUUUAAAAAAUUUGGCGGUAUUUUAGUCUUAUUAGAGGAACCUGUUUUAUCAUUGAUAAUCCACGAUUAAUUUUACUUAUUUUAUUAUAAUUCAUAUAUCGCUGUCAUGAAUAUAUUUAAAAAUUUAUUUUCUUUAAUUAAUAUUUUAAUUUAUGUUAAGUCAAGAUGUGGUUAAUUUAUAAGAAAAUAAUGGGUUACAAUAAAUUUUAUUUUUGGAAUUAGAAUGAAAAUUAAAAAUGAAAUUGGAUUUAAUAGUAAAUUUAUUUAUUUAAAUA
RNAcentral lists this ribosomal RNA (336 nucleotides) under Sipha elegans. RNAcentral describes it as "partial 12S ribosomal RNA". Lineage: Eukaryota; Metazoa; Arthropoda; Insecta; Hemiptera; Aphididae. The record is from RNAcentral.